Triplophysa rosa is the source of this 295-nucleotide long non-coding RNA. RefSeq lists it as uncharacterized. NCBI's taxonomy places the organism in Eukaryota, Metazoa, Chordata, Actinopteri, Cypriniformes, Nemacheilidae. The record is from RefSeq and is a predicted model, not a curated record. The transcript is spliced from 3 exons.
CUUACGCCAAAAAUGGCUACGAGCAUUACUACGAUGGUGAGAGCGGCACUGGGUAUUUGGCAUGGAGGAUAAAAACAAUACAGAGAGGCUUGGCGAAGGAUCGAAGAGCAUCAUUUGGAGAACAAGGAUUGUCUGCUGAGGGCAUGUCUGGUGGUGGACCAACUGUAAGACGGGAGUCAGAGUUUACCCCUGAGACUGUCUUGAGUGAGGAGGAAUGCAAAGAAGCUAUUGCAUUCAUGAGCCAUUCAGCUGAUGAGGAAGCAGUCAAAAAGAAAAUGAAAUUGACAUUUGACUA